Molecule: non-coding RNA, 329 nt
Organism: Delphinapterus leucas (beluga whale)
Lineage: Eukaryota; Metazoa; Chordata; Mammalia; Artiodactyla; Monodontidae
Source: RefSeq, a predicted model, not a curated record
CAAGAAACACUGUAAAUUUUUAAUAGACAGACUCUACUGAACAUACAGGAAUAUGCUCUACUGAAUGAAGAUAUUCUACUGAACAAUCAUUCUAGAUUACAUUUGAAAACUAGUAACAGAACUGCAUAUAGACCAGAACAACAGCAAUAAAUAAAAGUGAGGAACUCAGUUCAGCCAGAGGCAGAAGCAAGGAGAAGAAAACAGAAACAUCCAAGGUGCAUCCUCCUGUGAAUAAAGAAGACAACAGGUCAGAGGAUGGCGUGCAGCAGUAUGGGAGGUGAUGGGAGGGGAUGAAUUCAGGAUAAAGAAAUUAACUACGGGCUUCCCUG